RNAcentral lists this ribosomal RNA (529 nucleotides) under Cyphellostereum ushimanum. RNAcentral's name for it is "partial 28S ribosomal RNA". It matches the Rfam family "Eukaryotic large subunit ribosomal RNA", at positions 114 to 609 of the family's 3401-position model. Lineage: Eukaryota; Fungi; Basidiomycota; Agaricomycetes; Agaricales; Hygrophoraceae. The record is from RNAcentral.
UUUAAAAUCUGGCGGUCCUCGCGGCCGUCCGAGUUGUAAUCUAGAGAAGCGUCAUCCGCGCAGGCCCGCGCACAAGUCUCUUGGAAUAGAGCAUCAUAGAGGGUGAGAAUCCCGUCUCUGGCGCGGAAGGCCGGUGCAGUGCGAUGCGCUCUCGACGAGUCGAGUUGUUUGGGAAUGCAGCUCAAAACGGGUGGUAAAUUCCAUCUAAAGCUAAAUAUUGGCGAGAGACCGAUAGCGAACAAGUACCGUGAGGGAAAGAUGAAAAGAACUUUGGAAAGAGAGUUAAACAGUACGUGAAAUUGUUGAAAGGGAAACGCUUGAAGUCAGUCGCGUACGUCGGUGAUCAGCCUUCUCUCGAGUCGGCGUAUUCUCCGACGAACGGGCCAGCAUCGAUCUAGCUUGCCGGAAAAGGGCGAGAGGAAGGUGGCAUCCUCUGGAUGUGUUAUAGCCUCUCGUCGCAUGCGGCAGUCUGGAUCGAGGUACUCAGCGCGCCGCAAGGCCGGGGCUUCCGCCCACGAUCACGCGCUUA